This 324-nucleotide ribosomal RNA is filed under the name uncultured eukaryote. Its description in RNAcentral is "partial 18S ribosomal RNA". It matches the Rfam family "Eukaryotic small subunit ribosomal RNA", at positions 1470 to 1796 of the family's 1831-position model. The record is from RNAcentral.
CCCUUAGAUGUUCUGGGCUGCACGCGCGCUACACUGAAGCUAUCAACACGUUUUCCCUCCCUGAGAAGGGCGGGUAACCUUUUGAAUCAGCUUCGUGGUAGGGAUCGGGGCUUGCAAUUGUUCCCCGUGAACCAGGAAUUCCUAGUGGACGCGAGUCAUAAGCUCGCAUCGAUUAAGUCCCUGCCCUUUGUACACACCGCCCGUCGCUACUACCGAUUGAACGUUUUAGUGAGGCAUUUGGACCGACGCAUCUCAGUUUAACCGCUGGUUUGUGUUGGAAAGACUUCCAAACUUGAGCGUUUAGAGGAAGUAAAAGUCGUAACA